This 484-nucleotide ribosomal RNA is filed under the name uncultured bacterium. RNAcentral describes it as "partial 16S ribosomal RNA". It matches the Rfam family "Bacterial small subunit ribosomal RNA", at positions 30 to 507 of the family's 1533-position model. The record is from RNAcentral.
AUUGAACGCUGGCGGCAGGCCUAACACAUGCAAGUCGAGCGGAUGAAGGGAGCUUGCUCCUGGAUUCAGCGGCGGACGGGUGAGUAAUGCCUAGGAAUCUGCCUGGUAGUGGGGGAUAACGUCCGGAAACGGGCGCUAAUACCGCAUACGUCCUGAGGGAGAAAGUGGGGGAUCUUCGGACCUCACGCUAUCAGAUGAUCCUAGGUCGGAUUAGCUAGUUGGUGGGGUAAAGGCCUACCAAGGCGACGAUCCGUAACUGGUCUGAGAGGAUGAUCAGUCACACUGGAACUGAGACACGGUCCAGACUCCUACGGGAGGCAGCAGUGGGGAAUAUUGGACAAUGGGCGAAAGCCUGAUCCAGCCAUGCCGCGUGUGUGAAGAAGGUCUUCGGAUUGUAAAGCACUUUAAGUUGGGAGGAAGGGAAGUAAGUUAAUACCUUGCUGUUUUGACGUUACCAACAGAAUAAGCACCGGCUAACUUCGUG